Molecule: ribosomal RNA, 406 nt
Filed under: uncultured bacterium
Lineage: Bacteria
Description: partial 16S ribosomal RNA
Rfam family: Bacterial small subunit ribosomal RNA
Source: RNAcentral
AUUGAACGCUGGCGGCAGGCCUAACACAUGCAAGUCGAGCGAGCGGCGGACGGGUGAGUAAUGUCUGGGAAACUGCCUGAUGGCGGGGGAUAACUACUGGAAACGGUCGCUAAUACCGCAUACCAUCAGAUGUGCCCAGAUGGGAGUAGCUAGUAGGUGGGGUAACGGCUCACCUAGGCGACGACCCCUAGCUGGUCUGAGAGGAUGACCAGCAACAGUGGAACUGGGACACGGUCCAGACUCCUACGGGAGGCAGCAGUGGGGAAUAUUGGCCAAUGGGCGAGAGCCUGAUGCAGCCAUGCCGCGUGUGUGAAGCAGGCCUUCGGGUUGUGAAGCACUUUCAGCGGGGGGGCGUUACCCGCAGAAGAAGCACCGGCUAACUCCGUGCCAGCAGCCGCGGUAAUUC